UGGCUCAGAGGUUAAAGCGUCUGCCUGCAAUGCAGGAGACCUGGGUUCAAUCCCUG
This is a non-coding RNA of Ovis aries (sheep), 56 nucleotides long. The record is from Rfam. NCBI's taxonomy places the organism in Eukaryota, Metazoa, Chordata, Mammalia, Artiodactyla, Bovidae.